GACGAACGCUGGCGGCGUGCUUAACACAUGCAAGUCGAACGGAAAGGCCCUGCUUUUGUGGGGUGCUCGAGUGGCGAACGGGUGAGUAACACGUGAGUAACCUGCCCUUGACUUUGGGAUAACUUCAGGAAACUGGGGCUAAUACCGGAUAGGAGCUCCUGCUGCAUGGUGGGGGUUGGAAAGUUUCGGCGGUUGGGGAUGGACUCGCGGCUUAUCAGCUUGUUGGUGGGGUAGUGGCUUACCAAGGCUUUGACGGGUAGCCGGCCUGAGAGGGUGACCGGCAACAUUGGGACUGAGAUACGGCCCAGACUCCUACGGGAGGCAGGAGUGGGGAAUAUUGCACAAUGGGCGGAAGCCGGAUGCAGCAACGCCGCGUGCGGGAUGACGGCCUUCGGGUUGUAAACCGCUUUCGCCUGUGACGAAGCGUGAGUGACGGUAAUGGGUAAAGAAGCACCGGCGAACUACGU
RNAcentral lists this ribosomal RNA (467 nucleotides) under uncultured bacterium. Its description in RNAcentral is "partial 16S ribosomal RNA". It matches the Rfam family "Bacterial small subunit ribosomal RNA", at positions 28 to 506 of the family's 1533-position model. The record is from RNAcentral.